RNAcentral lists this long non-coding RNA (926 nucleotides) under Cyanistes caeruleus (blue tit). RNAcentral's name for it is "lncRNA (ENSCCEG00000000605.1)". The record is from RNAcentral. Lineage: Eukaryota; Metazoa; Chordata; Aves; Passeriformes; Paridae.
CACCCUGAACUCAUAAGAUAACUGCAUGAUAUCACAUUCAAAAAUCAGUCUUUCUUGUAAAAUGUCUUCACAGUGCAGGAUUCCUGUUCGGUAGCUAGAAGACCCACUUUAAAGAAGAUGAGGAUUUAAUUCCCCUUUCACUGGCAGAGGUUCAAACCCACCGUUCCCACCUCUCAAGGGACACCCUAAUCAAUGAGCAACCAUCUGUUCAGGGUGCUCCUAUGUAACUUAUCCAACCUCCCAGUUCCUGUAUGGACAUUCCAUAAGUCCUUGGUCAAAUCUACCCAGUCCUCUGCAGACAGGAAGUUUCUGGAAGCAGCAGAAGCAUUGUGGAAGUAUGAACUUAAAGAAGAAAAGUUGACCCAACUUCUGAAAUUUUAACCUCCAUUUGCUACUUGUUUUCCAUCUUUCAAUGACAAUAAUUCACUUCAUCAGUGAAUCCCAAUUCAGAAAAGCGCAUGAAAGUCGUCUCCUGUGUCAGAACUCUUCCUUCCUUUGAAGCUCAAGAAAUUAUUUUAAUUGUGGGUUUUUUUUUAGCAAGUAAGGCUAAUCUCUGCAUCAGUCAUUCCAGAAAUAUGAAGAUGUAUUGUUUGCAAGGAAAAAGAAGGUAUAGGGAGUUCCAAUUAUAUGUUCUGGGAGAUUUCUUAGAAACAGUGAUCCACAGCGGUAACUGUGUGAAUGCGGAAGACAGUCUCCACUCCACAAAAGCCAGAAACUUUACAUUUUUGUACAGGCAAUAUGUCUCCCUUCUAAAAGCUAAAUAUUUAGAAUUCGUGUAUCAAUUGGAACUAUUUUUUCAAAACUCCAGAGCAAAACAAAAUAAAAUUAAGGGUGUGUAAAAAUUGAAUCAAAUACAGAAUGUGUCAGAAAUUAUUUUGUUUUGUCUGCAUAAUAAAUUUGUAAAUGUGGCUAAUAAAACCUCUCUA